GGGAUUGCUGCAGCCAUCCAAAAGGAGGCAGAAGGAAAGGUUGGUGCUGGAUGAUCCACAUGGUGCCCUGGAGGAUGGGACAUAGCAGCAAGUGAAGGGAAUAGAAGUCCCAGCCAUCAGUACCCUCCAUGCUCAGUGUUUGCUGAAGGAUACAGGGUCAUACAACCCAGAGCCUCUUUGCUGCUGCUGGAGACCUCUUGUUUGUGUCUGCUUGGCACAACCUGCAAUGCUCCAUCUUCCAUUCACUUCCCUUGGUGGUUUAUUGGCAAAAAGCUGUAACAGUUAUUUCAGUUGGGUGGGUGGAGCUGCGAUGAAAACUCCAGUCUCCUCAUUUCAGUGAUGAAUAUUCAUGAUUGAAGCAAUCUGUACCAGACAGAGAAAGAUGUAACUCAGCACUGCAACUUCUAUCUGCAGCAAUGGAAGCAUUCAUCCCAUAAGAGAUGCCCUCACCGAAAACAAGCUGUCAGCAGCACCAAGCAAGUGACAACAGAAGUAUUAUGGUGUGGAUACAUUCAGUAAUACUUUGACAUCAGUUGCAUCCGCUGCUUUGCUUCAAACCAAACAUGCCACAAGAUUCACCUUAGGCUCAAAUGCUGCUUUCAGAAACACUGAUAAGAAUAGCUGCAGCGAGCACCAAGUGCCUUCAGAGCAUCCUCACUCUCCCUACAGCAUGGAAAGGACAGGGUGGAAAAAGCAUCAUGCCUUCAGCUGCCAGGGCAGCCAGCAGCAGGAAUGGCCCCAGUUGCUUCUCCAGCAACCUUCCCUUGCUCAGCUCCAGGAUCAUCUCCCCUUGCACAGAGCAGGAAACCUCCACACAUCCCAGGACUCAUCACUUUGCCCAGCACGUGUUUCCCUUCAGCAGAAGGGUAGAUGAUCCCUCUUGCAGCUCUGCGGUACGUUUUGCAGCCACACCUCCAAGGAAGGGAGGUCAAAUCAGCUCACCUCCAAGAAGUGCAAUGUUUGGAGUCCUAAUCCUGCUGCAUAGAGUUACCAUGCUAAUUUCCUUGGCAAACGCCAGAGUCAGGAUGCUACAAGCUUGUUUUGGCCUCAUGCCAUUACAGAGUGUGAAAGAGCAGCUGAAACAAGCAGCACGUAACUCAAGUGUGGGAAACAUGGGAUGGAGAGAAAUCCUGGUUGUGUCCAAGGCUGAUGAACAGUCAGCAGGAAAAGACAAAUCUUGAAGAAAGAGAUGCUCAGGGACCACUUCUCCCCC
Coturnix japonica (Japanese quail) is the source of this 1213-nucleotide non-coding RNA. NCBI's taxonomy places the organism in Eukaryota, Metazoa, Chordata, Aves, Galliformes, Phasianidae. The record is from RefSeq and is a predicted model, not a curated record.